AACGAACGCUGGCGGCAGGCCUAACACAUGCAAGUCGAACGAUAUAGUGGCAGACGGGUGAGUAACGCGUGGGGAUGUGCCCUUCAGUACGGAAUAGCUCUUGGAAACGAGUGGUAAUACCGUAUACGCCCUUAGGGGGAAAGAUUUAUCGCUGAAGGAUCAACCCGCGUUAGAUUAGCUAGUUGGUGAGGUAACGGCUCACCAAGGCGACGAUCUAUAGCUGGUCUGAGAGGAUGAUCAGCCACACUGGGACUGAGACACGGCCCAGACUCCUACGGGAGGCAGCAGUGGGGAAUCUUGCACAAUGGGCGAAAGCCUGAUGCAGCCAUGCCGCGUGAAUGAUGAAGGCCCUAGGGUUGUAAAAUUCUUUCAUCAGGGAUGAUAAUGACAGUACCUGAAGAAGAAGCUCCGGCUAACUUCG
This 421-nucleotide ribosomal RNA is filed under the name uncultured Hyphomonadaceae bacterium. RNAcentral's name for it is "bacterial SSU rRNA". It matches the Rfam family "Bacterial small subunit ribosomal RNA", at positions 29 to 505 of the family's 1533-position model. Lineage: Bacteria; Pseudomonadati; Pseudomonadota; Alphaproteobacteria; Hyphomonadales; Hyphomonadaceae. The record is from RNAcentral.